UGAACGCUGGCGGCAGGCUUAACACAUGCAAGUCGAGCGGAUGAAGGUAGCUUGCUACCGGAUUCAGCGGCGGACGGGUGAGUAAUGCUUAGGAAUCUGCCUAUUAGUGGGGGACAACGUUCCGAAAGGAGCGCUAAUACCGCAUACGUCUACGGGAGAAAGCAGGGGACCUUUGGGCCUUGCGCUAAUAGAUGAGCCUAAGUCGGAUUAGCUAGUUGGUAGGGUAAAGGCCUACCAAGGCGACGAUCUGUAGCGGGUCUGAGAGGAUGAUCCGCCACACUGGGACUGAGACACGGCCCAGACUCCUACGGGAGGCAGCAGUGGGGAAUAUUGGACAAUGGGGGGAACCCUGAUCCAGCCAUGCCGCGUGUGUGAAGAAGGCCUUUUGGUUGUAAAGCACUUUAAGCGAGGAGGAGGCUACCUAGAUUAAUACUUUAGGAUAGUGGACGUUACUCGCAGAAUAAGCACCGGCUAACUCUGUGCCAGCAGCCGCGGUAAUACAGAGGGUGCGAGCGUUAAUCGGAUUUACUGGGCGUAAAGCGUGCGUAGGCGGCCAAUUAAGUCAAAUGUGAAAUCCCCGAGCUUAACUUGGGAAUUGCAUUCGAUACUGGUUGGCUAGAGUAUGGGAGAGGAUGGUAGAAUUCCAGGUGUAGCGGUGAAAUGCGUAGAGAUCUGGAGGAAUACCGAUGGCGAAGGCAGCCAUCUGGCCUAAUACUGACGCUGAGGUACGAAAGCAUGGGGAGCAAACAGGAUUAGAUACCCUGGUAGUCCAUGCCGUAAACGAUGUCUACUAGCCGUUGGGGCCCUUGAGGCUUUAGUGGCGCAGCUAACGCGAUAAGUAGACCGCCUGGGGAGUACGGUCGCAAGACUAAAACUCAAAUGAAUUGACGGGGGCCCGCACAAGCGGUGGAGCAUGUGGUUUAAUUCGAUGCAACGCGAAGAACCUUACCUGGCCUUGACAUACAGAGAACUUUCCAGAGAUGGAUUGGUGCCUUCGGGAACUCUGAUACAGGUGC
This 1016-nucleotide ribosomal RNA is filed under the name Acinetobacter radioresistens. Its description in RNAcentral is "bacterial SSU rRNA". It matches the Rfam family "Bacterial small subunit ribosomal RNA", at positions 30 to 1041 of the family's 1533-position model. Lineage: Bacteria; Pseudomonadati; Pseudomonadota; Gammaproteobacteria; Moraxellales; Moraxellaceae. The record is from RNAcentral.